UCGAGUUACAGAACUCCCAAACCUUUGUGAACCUACCAUCGUUGCUUCGGCGGGAAUCGCCCCAGGCGCCGGCGGCCCUAGCGCUGCCGUGCCCUGGAACCAGGCGCCCGCCGGGGGACCCAAACUCUUGUCUUUAUAGUGGGAUAUUCUGAGUAUUAUACAAAUAAGCAAUCA
RNAcentral lists this unclassified non-coding RNA (174 nucleotides) under uncultured Ascomycota. RNAcentral describes it as "sequence contains ITS1". The record is from RNAcentral. Lineage: Eukaryota; Fungi; Ascomycota.